UACGAAGGGGACUAGCGUUGUUCGGAAUCACUGGGCGUAAAGCGCACGUAGGCGGAUAUGUCAGUCAGGGUGAAAUCCCGGGGCUCAACCUCGGAACUGCCUUUGAUACAGCAUGUCUUGAGUCCGAUAGAGGUGGGUGGAAUUCCUAGUGUAGAGGUGAAAAUUCGUAGAUAUUAGGAAGAACACCGGUGGCGAAGGCGGCCCACUGGAUCGGUACUGACGCUGAGGUGCGAAAGCGUGGGGAGCAAACAGG
RNAcentral lists this ribosomal RNA (253 nucleotides) under uncultured bacterium. RNAcentral's name for it is "partial 16S ribosomal RNA". It matches the Rfam family "Bacterial small subunit ribosomal RNA", at positions 524 to 776 of the family's 1533-position model. The record is from RNAcentral.